Molecule: ribosomal RNA, 1442 nt
Filed under: uncultured bacterium
Lineage: Bacteria
Description: bacterial SSU rRNA
Rfam family: Bacterial small subunit ribosomal RNA
Source: RNAcentral
GAUGAACGCUGGCGGCAUGCCUAAUACAUGCAAGUCGAACGGGGUGCUUGCACCCAGUGGCGAACGGGUGAGUAACACGUACCUAAUCUACCGUUUAGUGGGGGAUAACAGUUGGAAACGACUGCUAAUACCGCAUACGACUACCGAAGGCAUCUUUGGUAGUUAAAAGGCCCUGUUGGGUCGCUAAUUGAUGGGGGUGCGGCGUAUUAGCUAGUUGGUGAGGUAAUGGCUCACCAAGGCGAUGAUACGUAGCCGACCUGAGAGGGUGAUCGGCCACAUCGGGACUGAGACACGGCCCGAACUCCUACGGGAGGCAGCAGUAGGGAAUUUUUCACAAUGGGCGAAAGCCUGAUGGAGCAAUGCCGCGUGAUCGAUGAAGGUCUUCGGACUGUAAAGAUCUGUUGUUAGGGAAGAAACGUCAGAAGAAGAGAAUGCUUUUGAUUUGCCGGUACCUAACCAGAAAGCCACGGCUAACUAUGUGCCAGCAGCCGCGGUAAUACAUAGGUGGCAAGCGUUAUCCGGAAUUAUUGGGCGUAAAGCGUGCGUAGACGGUUUGACAAGUUUGAGGUGAAAGCCCAAAGCUUAACUUUGGUGUGCCUUGAAAACUGUUAGACUAGAGUUUGGGAGAGGUUGAUGGAAUUCCGUAUGUAGCGGUGGAAUGCGUAGAUAUACGGAGGAACACCAGUGGCGAAGGCGGUCAACUGGCCCAUCACUGACGUUUAGGCACGAAAGCGUGGGGAGCAAAUAGGAUUAGAUACCCUAGUAGUCCACGCCGUAAACGAUGAGUACUAAGUGUCGGCAUUAGUCGGUGCUGCAGCUAACGCAUUAAGUACUCCGCCUGAGUAGUAUGCUCGCAAGAGUGAAACUCAAAGGAAUUGACGGGGACCCGCACAAGCGGUGGAGCAUGUGGUUUAAUUCGAAGCAACGCGAAGAACCUUACCAAGGCUUGACAUCCAGUGCAAAGCUACAGAAAUGUAGUGGAGGUUAACAUUGAGACAGGUGGUGCAUGGUUGUCGUCAGCUCGUGCCGUGAGGUGUUAGGUUAAGUCCUGCAACGAGCGCAACCCUUGUCGUUAGUUACUCCGCGUAAGCGAGAUACUCUAACGAGACUGCUAGUGUAAGCUAGAGGAAGGUGGGGAUGACGUCAAAUCAUCAUGCCCCUUAUGUCUUGGGCUACACACGUGCUACAAUGGCCGAUACAAACAGUUGCGAUCCUGUGAAGGUAAGCUAAUCUGAAAAAGUCGGUCUCAGUUCGGAUUGAAGUCUGCAACUCGACUUCAUGAAGCCGGAAUCGCUAGUAAUCGCGAAUCAGCAAUGUCGCGGUGAAUACGUUCUCGGGUCUUGUACACACCGCCCGUCACACCAUGAGAGUUGGUAAUACCAGAAGUCGGUAUCUUAACCGUAAGGAGAGAGCCGCCCAAGGUAGGAUCGAUGAUUGGGGUG